AUGCACGCUGGCGGCGUGCCUAAUACAUGCAAGUCGAGCGAACAGACGAGGAGCUUGCUCCUCUGACGUUAGCGGCGGACGGGUGAGUAACACGUGGAUAACCUACCUAUAAGACUGGGAUAACUUCGGGAAACCGGAGCUAAUACCGGAUAAUAUAUUGAACCGCCUGGUUCAAUAGUGAAAGACGGUUUUGCUGUCACUUAUAGAUGGAUCCGCGCCGCAUUAGCUAGUUGGUAAGGUAACGGCUUACCAAGGCAACGAUGCGUAGCCGACCUGAGAGGGUGAUCGGACACACUGGAACUGAGACACGGUCCAGACUCCUACGGGAGGCAGCAGUAGGGAAUCUUCCGCAAUGGGCGAAAGCCUGACGGAGCAACGCCGCGUGAGUGAUGAAGGUCUUCGGAUCGUAAAACUCUGUUAUUAGGGAAGAACAAAUGUGUAAGUAACUAUGCACGUCUUGACGGUACCUAAUCAGAAAGCCACGGCUAACUACGUG
RNAcentral lists this ribosomal RNA (496 nucleotides) under uncultured bacterium. RNAcentral describes it as "partial 16S ribosomal RNA". It matches the Rfam family "Bacterial small subunit ribosomal RNA", at positions 29 to 507 of the family's 1533-position model. The record is from RNAcentral.